Molecule: long non-coding RNA, 408 nt
Filed under: Canis lupus familiaris (dog)
Lineage: Eukaryota; Metazoa; Chordata; Mammalia; Carnivora; Canidae
Description: lncRNA (ENSCAFG00040002111.1)
Source: RNAcentral
AUCCUGCCUCAGCAUCUGGACCCAGAGGAAUUGAAAUCAGGACCUCGAUGAGAUAUGUGCACUGCCCUGUUCACUGCAGCAUCCCUCCCCGCAGCCGCAAUGUGGAGAGAUGAGCCGUCCACGCGCGCCGUGGCUAUAGCAGAAAAGACCCGCUGCCAUUUGCGACAACACGGCUGGGCCUCAAGGGGCACAGAAACAGCUUGAUCAACUGAGAGUGACAAUGGGAAAGACCUACUGAAAGUUUCUAGGAAAAGGAAGAGCCAUGGAAGCCUCUGCUAGAACAGAGGUCGGCACAGGUCUCAUCCAAAGAGCCAGACGGCACAUAUUUUAGUUCUGCAGGAUCUUCGUGGCAGGGAAGCAGCGACUGACAGCAGGUAGAUCGGGGAGGGGGGGCGGUGCCACUGGGGG